UAGUGAAUGAAUGAAUGUAACUCGACGCGUGAUGCCAAUCAACCCGAUAUUUUUUCUAUACCAACGUUAUUUCGUAGCUGUGUUCGCGAAAUGGUUUCAGUCAGAGAGGAAUGGCUUUGAAAAUCUAAUUAUUAUAUACCCAUGCAUUUCCUUAGCGAUAUCGUACUACAAUGAUUUCGUAAAAAUGUAGUCGUAACAAACAAAUGGUAAAUGAUCUGAACAUCUUAAGUAAAUUUGUUACCUGCUAAUUGAAUUAUUCAAUUAGGGCUAUGAAACGUUUGCAAUUAAGUCUGAGAAUCAUGGUUUAGAAUACUAGUUAGUUCCGCGUUC
This is a non-coding RNA of Schizosaccharomyces pombe (fission yeast), 330 nucleotides long. Lineage: Eukaryota; Fungi; Ascomycota; Schizosaccharomycetes; Schizosaccharomycetales; Schizosaccharomycetaceae. The record is from the annotation of a GenBank genome assembly.